UACAGAGGUGCCGAGCGUUAUGCGGAAUCACUGGGCUUAAAGCGUGUGUAGGCGGACGUCUAAGUACCUUGUGAAAUCCCACGGCUCACCCGUGGAACUGCUGGGUAUACUGGGCGUCUUGAGCCACCUAGGGGCCAGCGGAACAAAUGGUGGAGCGGUGAAAUGCGUAGAUAUCAUUUGGAACGCCAACGGUGAAAACAGCUGGCUGGGGGUGUGCUGACGCUGAGACACGAAAGCCAGGGGAGCAAACGGG
Molecule: ribosomal RNA, 253 nt
Filed under: uncultured bacterium
Lineage: Bacteria
Description: partial 16S ribosomal RNA
Rfam family: Bacterial small subunit ribosomal RNA
Source: RNAcentral